GGCCUUUCAGCCGGCAGAGCACGAGGCUCUUCAUCUCAGGGUCAUGGGUUUGAGCCCCAUGUUGGCCA
Podarcis lilfordi (Lilford's wall lizard) is the source of this 68-nucleotide non-coding RNA. Lineage: Eukaryota; Metazoa; Chordata; Lepidosauria; Squamata; Lacertidae. The record is from the annotation of a GenBank genome assembly.